CAAUGAGGGGCUAAUCCUUCCUCUCCUAACCA
This 32-nucleotide transfer RNA is filed under the name Crocodylus mindorensis (Philippine crocodile). Its description in RNAcentral is "partial tRNA-Met". The record is from RNAcentral. Lineage: Eukaryota; Metazoa; Chordata; Crocodylia; Crocodylidae.